AGCCUGUGGUGGUUGCCGAAGAACUUUAAUUACAGUGUCAGAGUGUUCAGGGACAGUCCCAACUCCCUUCAUGUGAGGAUUGCAGAAAUGGGCUUGGAUCGUAUACAGACAGCGUUAUGAGGCAUUGCUGAAGAACACACAAAUCUGCCUGGAGCUGUUUCCUGAACACAGGACCAAAAGGCAGGAAUCAAAAGUAGUAAUGAGUUUAGUUAUCUGUCUGUUACUGAAGGUGACUUCUAGGGCAUCCUCCUGGCAUUGCUUCUGGAAUACAGUGACUUAGACUUAUUCGGAAGAACAUCUCUAUGCUGUUCAUCACAUCGCCAGCACCUAGCCCUGUGCCUGUGCAUAGUAAAUGCUCAGAAAAGAAAAAACAACAAAGUUUCCAGCUCUUACUCUAGAUUGACACUGGACCUUGGAGAUGCUUGCAGCCACUAAAUGUAAUGCCACAUGAUUGUUGACCCAACAAUAAUCCAGUUAAAAAACAGUCUUCAGAGUUACUACAUCAUCAGAAUUAACCCUGAUUACAUCAAAUUAUGUUGAAACAGACCACAGCUGUUUGCCCUGUUGAAGCAACUGCUUGAGAGCUCCUCCGGAAGAUACAUCUGGGUGUCACUAAGAUACAUUUUGGGUUUAGUUUUGUUUCUCAACACAAAUGUAGGAGGGAAACAAACCCUGUUCUGCUGGGGUGCCUGGUGGGAGCUGAAAACCUUGUGAUUCUCCAGCAGUCAAAAGUCAUCUCAAUUACCAAAGAGAAGGGAACCUGAGAUCUUUUGUUUCAGUUUUCUAUAGGAAGGAUGUAAGAGGAAGGAAAUUCAAAUCUGUUGAGUAUUGCUCUUGCCAGCAAAAAGAAGUGGAACUGACUAGUGAGAUGGUGGUGAGAUUUUCUUUGGUGGCUGUGUGCAGUGGUAUCAACCCAGGAGAGUAGACUGUUCAAUUGUGAAGAAUUUUGCAAGAUGGUUGUUAAAGUAGAACAUCGUUAAAAUUAAGUUGUAAUAAAAAAAGGGAAAUAAGCAUUGGAAAAGAUGUGGACAGAUUGGAACCCUCAUACAUUGCUGAUGGGAAUGUAAAAUGGUGUAGCCACUGUGGAAAAAAGGUCAGCAGUUCCUUAAAAAGUUAAACAGUGUCACCAUAUGACUCAGCAUUUUCACUCCUAGAUAAAUACGUAGAUUGAAAACGUAUGUCCACACAAAAACUUGUACAGGAAUGAUCGCAACAGCAUUAUUCAUAAUAGCCAAAAAGUGGAAACAACUGUAAUGUUCAUCAGCUGAUGAAUGGAUAAAAUGCGGUAUAUAAAGAACUGUCAAGUGCUUCAACAUGGAUGAAACUUGAAAACAUUAUACAAAGCGAAAGAGGUUAGACACACAGGUCACAUAUUGUAUGAAUAUGGUUAUGUGAAAUGUCUAGAAUUGGCAAAUCCAUAGAGAUGAAAAGUAGGUUAGCGGUUGCCAGCUGAUGGGAUUGGGGGAAUGGAGAGUUGCUAAUGGAUAUGGUGUUUCUUUUGGGGUAAUGAAAAUGUUCUGGAAUUAGAUAGCUGUGGUGGUUGUCAAAGUUGAUGAAUAUAUUAGAAACCAUGAAUUAUAAACUUUAACAUGGUGACUUUUGUGAUACGUGAAUAUCUUAAUUAAAAAUUAAGUUAUAUAAAAAAAAAAAAAAA
RNAcentral lists this long non-coding RNA (1654 nucleotides) under Homo sapiens (human). RNAcentral's name for it is "long independently transcribed non-coding RNA 2728 (LINC02728)". The record is from RNAcentral. Lineage: Eukaryota; Metazoa; Chordata; Mammalia; Primates; Hominidae.